This 506-nucleotide ribosomal RNA is filed under the name uncultured bacterium. RNAcentral describes it as "partial 16S ribosomal RNA". It matches the Rfam family "Bacterial small subunit ribosomal RNA", at positions 28 to 523 of the family's 1533-position model. The record is from RNAcentral.
GAUGAACGCUAGCUACAGGCUUAACACAUGCAAGUCGAGGGGUAACGAGAGGAAAGCUUGCUUUCCUUGUCGACGACCGGCGCACGGGUGAGUAACGCGUAUCCAACCUGCCCCCAACUAGGGAAUAACCUUGCGAAAGUAAGACUAAUACCCUAUAAUUUCCUCAGAUGUCAUCUGACGAGGAAUAAAGAUUUAUCGGUUGUGGAUGGGGAUGCGUCUGAUUAGCUUGUUGGCGGGGUAACGGCCCACCAAGGCAACGAUCAGUAGGGGUUCUGCGAGGAAGGUCCCCCACAUUGGAACUGGGACACGGUCCAAACUCCUACGGGAGUCAGCAGUGAGGAAUAUUGGUCAAUGGGCGGAAGCCUGAACCAGCCAAGUAGCGUGCAGGAUGACGGCCAUAUAGGUUGUAAACUGCUUUUAUACAGGAAUAAAGUUAGCCACGUGUGGUUAUUUGUAGGUACUGUAUGAAUAAGGACCGGCUAAUUCCGUGCCAGCCGCCGCCGUAA